AGUGAACGCUGGCGGUAGGCCUAACACAUGCAAGUCGAACGGCAGCACAGUAAGAGCUUGCUCUUACGGGUGGCGAGUGGCGGACGGGUGAGGAAUACAUCGGAAUCUACUUUUUCGUGGGGGAUAACGUAGGGAAACUUACGCUAAUACCGCAUACGACCUACGGGUGAAAGCAGGGGAUCUUCGGACCUUGCGCGAUUGAAUGAGCCGAUGUCGGAUUAGCUAGUUGGCGGGGUAAAGGCCCACCAAGGCGACGAUCCGUAGCUGGUCUGAGAGGAUGAUCAGCCGCACUGGAACUGAGACACGGUCCAGACUCCUACGGGAGGCAGCAGUGGGGAAUAUUGGACAAUGGGCGAAAGCCUGAUCCAGCAAUACCGCGUGGGUGAAGAAGGCCUUCGGGUUGUAAAGCCCUUUUGUUGGGAAAGAAAAGCAGCAGGUUAAUACCCCGCUGUUCUGACGGUACCCAAAGAAUAAGCACCGGCUAACUUCGUG
Molecule: ribosomal RNA, 492 nt
Filed under: uncultured bacterium
Lineage: Bacteria
Description: partial 16S ribosomal RNA
Rfam family: Bacterial small subunit ribosomal RNA
Source: RNAcentral